This 301-nucleotide ribosomal RNA is filed under the name uncultured bacterium. Its description in RNAcentral is "partial 16S ribosomal RNA". It matches the Rfam family "Bacterial small subunit ribosomal RNA", at positions 509 to 807 of the family's 1533-position model. The record is from RNAcentral.
CAGUAGCCGCGGUAAUACGAGGGGGGCAAGCGUUGUUCGGAUUUAUUGGGCGUAAAGCGCACGUAGGCGGAUCGAUCAGUCAGGGGUGAAAUCCCAGAGCUCAACUCUGGAACUGCCUUUGAUACUGUCGAUCUGGAGUAUGGAAGAGGUGAGUGGAAUUCCGAGUGUAGUGGUGAAAUUCGUAGAUAUUCGGAGGAACACCAGUGGCGAAGGCGGCUCACUGGUCCGUUACUGACGCUGAGGUGCGAAAGCGUGGGGAGCAAACAGGAUUAGAUACCCCAGUAGUCCCUGUCUCUUAUAC